GGUGAGUAACACGUGAGCAACCUGCCCCUGACUCUGGGAUAAGCGCUGGAAACGGCGUCUAAUACUGGAUAUGUCCCAUCACCGCAUGGUGUGUGGGUGGAAAGAUUUUUCGGUUGGGGAUGGGCUCGCGGCCUAUCAGCUUGUUGGUGAGGUAAUGGCUCACCAAGGCGUCGACGGGUAGCCGGCCUGAGAGGGUGACCGGCCACACUGGGACUGAGACACGGCCCAGACUCCUACGGGAGGCAGCAGUGGGGAAUAUUGCACAAUGGGCGGAAGCCUGAUGCAGCAACGCCGCGUGAGGGAUGACGGCCUUCGGGUUGUAAACCUCUUUUAGCAGGGAAGAAGCGAGAGUGACGGUACCUGCAGAAAAAGCACCGGCUAACUACGUGCCAGCAGCCGCGGUAAUACGUAGGGUGCAAGCGUUAUCCGGAAUUAUUGGGCGUAAAGAGCUCGUAGGCGGUCUGUCGCGUCUGCUGUGAAAUUCCGAGGCUCAACCUCGGGCUUGCAGUGGGUACGGGCAGACUAGAGUGCGGUAGGGGAGAUUGGAAUUCCUGGUGUAGCGGUGGAAUGCGCAGAUAUCAGGAGGAACACCGAUGGCGAAGGCAGAUCUCUGGGCCGUAACUGACGCUGAGGAGCGAAAGGGUGGGGAGCAAACAGGCUUAGAUACCCUGGUAGUCCACCCCGUAAACGUUGGGAACUAGUUGUGGGGUCCUUUCCACGGAUUCCGUGACGCAGCUAACGCAUUAAGUUCCCCGCCUGGGGAGUACGGCCGCAAGGCUAAAACUCAAAGGAAUUGACGGGGACCCGCACAAGCGGCGGAGCAUGCGGAUUAAUUCGAUGCAACGCGAAGAACCUUACCAAGGCUUGACAUACACGAGAACGGGCCAGAAAUGGUCAACUCUUUGGACACUCGUGAACAGGUGGUGCAUGGUUGUCGUCAGCUCGUGUCGUGAGAUGUUGGGUUAAGUCCCGCAACGAGCGCAACCCUCGUUCUAUGUUGCCAGCACGUAAUGGUGGGAACUCAUGGGAUACUGCCGGGGUCAACUCGGAGGAAGGUGGGGAUGACGUCAAAUCAUCAUGCCCCUUAUGUCUUGGGCUUCACGCAUGCUACAAUGGCCGGUACAAUGGGCUGCAAUACCGUGAGGUGGAGCGAAUCCCAAAAAGCCGGUCCCAGUUCGGAUUGAGGUCUGCAACUCGACCUCAUGAAGUCGGAGUCGCUAGUAAUCGCAGAUCAGCAACGCUGCGGUGAAUACGUUCCCGGGUCUUGUACACACCGCCCGUCAAGUCAUGUAAGUCGGUAACACCUGAAGCC
Molecule: ribosomal RNA, 1312 nt
Filed under: Microbacterium esteraromaticum
Lineage: Bacteria; Bacillati; Actinomycetota; Actinomycetes; Micrococcales; Microbacteriaceae
Description: bacterial SSU rRNA
Rfam family: Bacterial small subunit ribosomal RNA
Source: RNAcentral